RNAcentral lists this ribosomal RNA (563 nucleotides) under uncultured Glomeromycotina. RNAcentral's name for it is "SSU rRNA". It matches the Rfam family "Eukaryotic small subunit ribosomal RNA", at positions 548 to 1114 of the family's 1831-position model. The record is from RNAcentral. Lineage: Eukaryota; Fungi; Glomeromycota.
UUGGAGGGCAAGUCUGGUGCCAGCAGCCGCGGUAAUUCCAGCUCCAAUAGCGUAUAUUAAAGUUGUUGCAGUUAAAAAGCUCGUAGUUGAAUUUCGGGAUCAAGGGAUCGGUCAUGCCUUGGUAUGUACUGGUCUUAUUGGUUCUCACCUUCUAAAGAACCAUGAUGUCAUUCAUUUGAUGUUAUGGGGAAUUAGGACUGUUACCUUGAAAAAAUUAGAGUGUUUAAAGCAAGCUUACGCUUGAAUACAUUGGCAUGGAAUAAUGAAAUAGGACAUCAGAUUCUAUUUUGUUGGUUUCUAGGAUCGAUGUAAUGAUUAAUAGGGAUAGUUGGGGGCAUUAGUAUUCAAUUGUCAGAGGUGAAAUUCUUGGAUUUAUUGAAGACUAACUACUGCGAAAGCAUUUGCCAAGGAUGUUUUCAUUAAUCAAGAACGAAAGUUAGGGGAUCGAAGACGAUCAGAUACCGUCGUAGUCUUAACCAUAAACUAUGCCGACUAGGGAUCGGAUGAUGUUAAUUUUUUAAUGACUCAUUCGGCACCUUACGGAAACCAAAGUGUUUGGGUUC